RNAcentral lists this ribosomal RNA (604 nucleotides) under Streptomyces anthocyanicus. Its description in RNAcentral is "bacterial SSU rRNA". It matches the Rfam family "Bacterial small subunit ribosomal RNA", at positions 80 to 697 of the family's 1533-position model. The record is from RNAcentral. Lineage: Bacteria; Bacillati; Actinomycetota; Actinomycetes; Kitasatosporales; Streptomycetaceae.
CUUCGGUGGGGAUUAGUGGCGAACGGGUGAGUAACACGUGGGCAAUCUGCCCUUCACUCUGGGACAAGCCCUGGAAACGGGGUCUAAUACCGGAUACUGACCCUCGCAGGCAUCUGCGAGGGUCGAAAGCUCCGGCGGUGAAGGAUGAGCCCGCGGCCUAUCAGCUUGUUGGUGAGGUAAUGGCUCACCAAGGCGACGACGGGUAGCCGGCCUGAGAGGGCGACCGGCCACACUGGGACUGAGACACGGCCCAGACUCCUACGGGAGGCAGCAGUGGGGAAUAUUGCACAAUGGGCGAAAGCCUGAUGCAGCGACGCCGCGUGAGGGAUGACGGCCUUCGGGUUGUAAACCUCUUUCAGCAGGGAAGAAGCGAAAGUGACGGUACCUGCAGAAGAAGCGCCGGCUAACUACGUGCCAGCAGCCGCGGUAAUACGUAGGGCGCAAGCGUUGUCCGGAAUUAUUGGGCGUAAAGAGCUCGUAGGCGGCUUGUCACGUCGGUUGUGAAAGCCCGGGGCUUAACCCCGGGUCUGCAGUCGAUACGGGCAGGCUAGAGUUCGGUAGGGGAGAUCGGAAUUCCUGGUGUAGCGGUGAAAUGCGCAGAUAU